AGUGAACGCUGGCGGUAGGCCUAACACAUGCAAGUCGAACGGCAGCACAGUAAGAGCUUGCUCUUACGGGUGGCGAGUGGCGGACUGGUGAGGAAUACAUCGGAAUCUACUUUUUCGUUGGGGAUAACGUAGGGAAACUUACGCUAAUACCGCAUACGACCUACGGGUGAAAGCAAGGGAUCUUCGGACCUUACGCGAUUGAAUGAGCCGAUGUCGGAUUAGCUAGUUGGCGGGGUAAAGGCCCACCAAGUCGACGAUCCGUAGCUGGUCUGAGAGGAUGAUCAGCCACACUGGAACUGAGACACGGUCCAGACUCCUACGGGAGGCAGCAGUGGGGAAUAUUGGACAAUGGGCGCAAGCCUGAUCCAGCCAUACCGCGUGGGUGAAGAAGGCCUUCGGGUUGUAAAGCCCUUUUGUUGGGAAAGAAAAGCAGCAGGUUAAUACCCCGCUGUUCUGACGGUACCCAAAGAAUAAGCACCGGCUAACUUCGUG
RNAcentral lists this ribosomal RNA (492 nucleotides) under uncultured bacterium. RNAcentral's name for it is "partial 16S ribosomal RNA". It matches the Rfam family "Bacterial small subunit ribosomal RNA", at positions 29 to 507 of the family's 1533-position model. The record is from RNAcentral.